Molecule: non-coding RNA, 435 nt
Organism: Pelobates cultripes (western spadefoot toad)
Lineage: Eukaryota; Metazoa; Chordata; Amphibia; Anura; Pelobatidae
Source: the annotation of a GenBank genome assembly
UGGGAAUACUUAUGAAUAUAGAAAGAACUCUCAUACACAGAAUAAUUAUAGUAGAGAUUCUAUAUCUACUCAACAUAACAAUAGGUUUAGAAAUAGGAGAUUAUAUUCCGAUAAUCGGUCCCCAAUGAAUCAACUGAUUAGUAAGAAAGAUCAAAAAAUCCCAGUUAGACAUGGUAAUCACUCUACAGCUCAAUCUAGAUAUGAACAUAAUACUACCCAUCUUAGAAAAAGCCCCUCCCCUGCACUUCCAAUGACAUAGAACGAGAUUGUAGACCCCAAAAAUGUCUCCCAAUAGUGGACAUUUUUUAGAACAGAAUUGCAGACCGAAGGAAAAAAACGCAUAACGAGCUACUUUCCUGCAAAGAGAGACUAAUGGGAACAUUCCAGUCGGUUCUCUGCGCUACAAACAGAAACUCCUCCAUAGAGAAAAAGAUU